RNAcentral lists this long non-coding RNA (243 nucleotides) under Pan troglodytes (chimpanzee). RNAcentral's name for it is "long non-coding RNA NONPTRT014388". The record is from RNAcentral. Lineage: Eukaryota; Metazoa; Chordata; Mammalia; Primates; Hominidae.
UUCCACGCGUUUGAGGCGCGGUCGCAGCUGAGCUGUUAGGCGCCCAGACGUAUGAGAGGGCCCGGGUGAGCUGUAGAGCCCCGGGUUCCUGGUUCUUCGGAAGAGAAGGGGAGGUUCCCGGAGGGCAGUAACUUGCAACUCUGUGUGUGAAUUUCAGGAUGGCGUGGGCGGCACGAAAACAACUACUACACAGUUGGGAAAGGAAAAUGCCCUGCAAAAGAUGUUGACAAAGCUGGAUUUCCA